This 304-nucleotide long non-coding RNA is filed under the name Manihot esculenta (cassava). RNAcentral describes it as "long non-coding RNA (MESC_LNC008827)". The record is from RNAcentral. Lineage: Eukaryota; Viridiplantae; Streptophyta; Magnoliopsida; Malpighiales; Euphorbiaceae.
CACCUUAGGUCCACAUCCCAUGACCGGCAGGACCCUAAUUUCAACUCCGCCACAAGGAAAUUCUCUACCCAUCCCUUUAUAGAAUCCUUGUAGCCCGUAAGAAGAGACAGCCCAUUACGGGGGGAAAAGUAAUAGAAGUUUUGCUUCGCCCUAACCAGGCGGAAAAAUGUGACAAACAGACAGGCCGUAGGGGCGAAACCCAAACCCAGACAGAUAGACUCGAAACAGGACAUGAACAAAAUGGAAUUCGGGGAUAACAUUCGAGGAGUUACCCCAAAGUAUUCAAACACCUCAACAAAGAAAG